AGGGGGAGUGCCGGAUCUUGGGUUGUGUCCCCCAGGGCCCUUGGCUCCGGGGUCUGCACCGCUGGAAUCGCGCUCGCUGGGCCACGCAGCCCCCU
Molecule: microRNA precursor, 95 nt
Filed under: Canis lupus familiaris (dog)
Lineage: Eukaryota; Metazoa; Chordata; Mammalia; Carnivora; Canidae
Also listed under: 1 other name
Description: mir-8799 microRNA precursor family
Rfam family: mir-8799 microRNA precursor family
Source: Rfam by way of RNAcentral